CAGCAGAGCCCACCCAGCCCAGCCUGGCGGAGACAGGGGCAGGGCCAGCCGUGUUACUUGUUCCCAAGCUGGAAGGGAAAGAAAAAAUUCCCAAGAAAAUGCAUGUCCCCAGUGGGAAAACAAACAGUACAAAGCCUGAGGAACAGCAAAUCAAGGUUGGAUGGACAACGUUAAGGGAAUGACCAAAAAGAUAUAGGUUUGUUGGAGCAAGAAGAUGACUUUUCAUUCUAGAAACUUCAUCAGGUUUUGCAGUCUGUGACUUAGAAACAACUCCUGAGAUUUCCCAGUGGUAGAAUUAUACAGAAGACCAGUAUUUAAUCAAAAAGUUCAGAAAUGAAUGAAGACUUCUAAACCUGUAGUAGCUGCCUGUGAAGCACUAGAGCAUGGAACACGGAGGCAAUAUUUUCUUUUGACUUACUGUGAAAUGGAAAAUGUGAAAACACCAUGCAGGGUGAUGAAGGGGGACAUACAUCCACUUGCUGGAGG
This is a long non-coding RNA of Passer domesticus (house sparrow), 486 nucleotides long. RefSeq lists it as uncharacterized. The transcript is spliced from 3 exons. Lineage: Eukaryota; Metazoa; Chordata; Aves; Passeriformes; Passeridae. The record is from RefSeq and is a predicted model, not a curated record.